UACGAAGGGGGCGAGCGUUGUUCGGAUUUACUGGGCGUAAAGGGCGCGCAGGCGGCUAUCCAAGUCAGGCGUGAAAGCCCCGGGCUUAACCUGGGAGGUGCGUCUGGGACUGGGUGGCUAGAGUUCGGGAGAGGAGAGUGGAAUUCCCAGUGUAGAGGUGAAAUUCGUAGAUAUUCGCAAGAACACCAGUGGCGAAGGCGGCUUACUGGUCCGGUACUGACGCUGAGGUGCGAAAGCGUGGGGAGCAAACAGG
Molecule: ribosomal RNA, 253 nt
Filed under: uncultured bacterium
Lineage: Bacteria
Description: partial 16S ribosomal RNA
Rfam family: Bacterial small subunit ribosomal RNA
Source: RNAcentral